Molecule: ribosomal RNA, 1470 nt
Filed under: Cytophagaceae bacterium
Lineage: Bacteria; Pseudomonadati; Bacteroidota; Cytophagia; Cytophagales; Cytophagaceae
Description: bacterial SSU rRNA
Rfam family: Bacterial small subunit ribosomal RNA
Source: RNAcentral
ACUAUGGAGAGUUUGAUCCCGGCUCAGGAUGAACGCUAGAAAGAGGAAUGCAUGUUACCGCAGUCGAGGGGGCAGUAAUGUCACCGGCGGACGGAAUUUGCGUAACGCAUGUGCAACCUACCGCAUCAGGGGGAUAGCCCUAGGAAACUGGGAUUAACACCGCACAAUAUUAAUGGCAUCAUUGAUAAUUGAAAUAUUUAUAGGAAGUAGAUGGGGCAUGCGUAAGAUUAGCUAGUUGGUAGGUAACGGACAUUCCAAGGCCACGAUCUUUAGGGGCCGGAGGAGUGCAUCCCACACUGGCACUGAGAUACCGGAAUUUGACUCCUACGGGAGUGCAGUAGAAGAAUUGGGCAAUGGACGCUCUGACCCAGCCAGCUGCGUGCAGGAAGACGGCCCUCUGGGUUGUAAACUGCUUUGAAUGGGAAGAAUGUAUGGCUUACGAGCCAUAAUGACAGUACCAUUAGAAUAAGCCACGGCUAACGGCGCGCCAGCAGCCACGCAGUAAUACGUGGUGGCGAGCGUUAUCGGACUUAUUGGUUUAAAGGAGUGCAGAUAAGGGCUCAGUAAGUCGGUGGUAAAAGGUAGAGCUUAACCGUUUUUUACAUGCCAUCGACACUGUUGAGCUUGGAGUUAGUUAGGGCAGCUAAAAUUUCCGGUGGAGCGGUGAAAUGUGGAUACCGGGAAGGAAUACCGAUUGCGAAGGCAGGUUACACGAAUAUACUGCGCUGUUGCACGAAAGCGGUGGGGGAUCAAACAGGAUUAGAUUACGGUAUCCACGCAGUAAACGAUGAUUACUAGAUGUUGGUAGCGAUAUCAGUGGCCAGGAAACCGAUAAGUAAUCCAAACGAGUACUAGCAACGGCAGUGAAACUCAAAGGAAUUGACGGGGUCCGCAAGCGUGGAUAUGGUUUAAUUCGAUGAUACGCGAGGAAUCCACUGGCUAGAAUGUGAAGGAAUGAUUCAGAGAUGAAUCAGUCACAAUGACGCGAAACAAGGUGCUGCAUGCCGUCGUCAGUUCGUGCCGUGAGGUGUUGGGUUAAGUCCCGCAACGAACGCAACCCCUAUAGACUAUGCCAGCACGUAAAGGUGGGGGACUCAGUCGAGACUGCCCACUGGGGCAGAGAGGAAGGAGGGGACGACGUCAGGUGUCCAAGGCCCUUACGCCCAGGGGCGACACAUGCUACAAUGGCAGGUACCAGAGUGCAGCGAGCUUGUAAGAGUAAGCGAACUGCAAAAGCCUGUCCAGUCCGGAUUGGGGUCUGCAACUCGGACCCAUGAAGCUGGAAUCGCGCUGGUAAUCGCUAUCAGCCAUGAGGUGGUGAAUAGGUCCCCGGACCUUGUACACAUCGCCCGUCAAGCCAUGGGAGUUGGGACCUGAAGCGGAAGGUAAAAGACUUCGUUAGGGUAGAACUAGUGACUGGGGCUAAGUCGUAAGAAGGUAGCCGUACAGAAGGGCCAGAAUUCCUCCUUU